Molecule: ribosomal RNA, 253 nt
Filed under: uncultured bacterium
Lineage: Bacteria
Description: partial 16S ribosomal RNA
Rfam family: Bacterial small subunit ribosomal RNA
Source: RNAcentral
UACGUAGGGUGCAAGCGUUGUUCGGAGUGACUGGGCGUAAAGGGCGCAUAGGCGGGUUUGUAAGUCGAUUGUGAAAUCCCCGAGCUUAACUCGGGAACUGCAGUCGAAACUGCAAAUCUUGAGUGCCUAAGAGGUUAGUGGAAUUCCUGGUGUAGGAGUGAAAUCCGUAGAUAUCAGGAGGAACACCGGAGGCGAAGGCGGCUAACUGGUGGUGCAUUGACGCUGAAGCGUGAAAGCGUGGGGAGCAAACAGG